RNAcentral lists this ribosomal RNA (304 nucleotides) under uncultured bacterium. Its description in RNAcentral is "bacterial SSU rRNA". It matches the Rfam family "Bacterial small subunit ribosomal RNA", at positions 497 to 796 of the family's 1533-position model. The record is from RNAcentral.
CGAAUUCGCCCUUUGCCAGCAGCCGCGGUAAGACGAACCGUGCAAACGUUGUUCGGAAUCACUGGGCUUAAAGGGCGCGUAGGCGGGUUUUCAAGUCUGUGGUGAAAUCCUCCAGCUCAACUGGGGAACUGCCAUGGAUACUGAGGAUCUCGAGGGAGGUAGGGGCGUACGGAACUGGUGGUGGAGCGGUGAAAUGCGUUGAUAUCACCAGGAACUCCGGUGGCGAAGGCGGUACGCUGGACCUCUUCUGACGCUGAGGCGCGAAAGCCAGGGGAGCAAACGGGAUUAGAUACCCUGGUAGUCC